AGAGUUUGAUCAUGGCUCAGAAUCAACGCUGGCGGCGUGCCUAACACAUGCAAGUCGCACGAGAAAGGGGAGCAAUCCCUGAGUAAAGUGGCGCACGGGUGAGUAACACGUGACUAACCUACCUCUGAGUGGGGAAUAACUGAGAGGAAUCUUAGCUAAUACCGCAUAACACUUACGAGUCAAAGCAGCAAUGCGCUUAGAGAGGGGGUCGCGGCAGAUUAGUUAGUUGGCGGGGUAAUGGCCCACCAAGACGAUGAUCUGUAUCCGGCCUGAGAGGGCGCACGGACACACUGGAACUGAAACACGGUCCAGACUCCUACGGGAGGCAGCAGUGGGGAAUUUUGCGCAAUGGGGGAAACCCUGACGCAGCAACGCCGCGUGGAGGAUGAAAUAUCUUGGUAUGUAAACUCCUUUCGAUGGGGAAGAUUAUGACGGUACCCAUAGAAGAAGCCCCGGCUAACUUCGUGCCAGCAGCCCGCGGUAAUACGAGGGGGGCAAGCGUUGUUCGGAUUUAUUGGGCGUAAAGGGUGCGUAGGCGGUUUGGCAAGUCUGAUGUGAAAUCUAUGGGCUCAACCCAUAGUCUGCAUCAGAAACUGCCGGGCUUGAGUAUGGGAGAGGUGAGUGGAAUUUCCGGUGUAGCGGUGAAAUGCGUAGAUAUCGGAAGGAACACCUGUGGCGAAAGCGGCUCACUGGACCAUAACUGACGCUGAUGCACGAAAGCUAGGGGAGCAAACAGGAUUAGAUACCCUAGUAGUCC
Molecule: ribosomal RNA, 757 nt
Filed under: uncultured bacterium
Lineage: Bacteria
Description: bacterial SSU rRNA
Rfam family: Bacterial small subunit ribosomal RNA
Source: RNAcentral